Molecule: long non-coding RNA, 890 nt
Organism: Fundulus heteroclitus (mummichog)
Lineage: Eukaryota; Metazoa; Chordata; Actinopteri; Cyprinodontiformes; Fundulidae
Exons: 3
Source: RefSeq, a predicted model, not a curated record
GUUGGUGUAGAGGAUACACCUGAGACAACAGACAAAGACCCAACAGAAUGGAACAUUAGGAACACUCUGUCCGCAGAGAAAUGGAAAGAGGCCAGGCCAUCUCUCAUUGAUAGUAUGCUGGCCAAUGAGGACCCUCACCCACAGUCUGGAUGCCAGUGUGGGAAACCAGCUGUGGUGAGGUGUAUGGACUGCCUGCCUCUCCCAUUACUUUGUUUAGACUGUGAUUUAAUUUUGCACUCUCGGUUUGUCUUGCACAACCGAGAACAAUUAAAUGGAGAGUUUUUGCAGCCUGUUCUUCAUCAGCAAACAGGUACCCAUUUAGAGUCCUUAAUACAUAUCAGCCAUGUUUUAUUCCUGUCAAACUUUUUCAAAAUCUAUAUAAAAUCUACAUAUAUUUACAGCUGCAGCAAUGUUUUUUUUUUGUUUUUUUUUUGGGGGGGGGGGAAUUACAUUUUUUGAAUGUUAGCAUGGAUGGUGCCUAUUCAAAGGCCAGAUCGUGUGUGCCACUGCUCAGGCAGCAUCCAUGUGUCACCUGGAAGGGUCGUGGCAGUCAUAACUAUGAAUGGCCGCUACAACCUAUCAAUGCCAGUGGUGAGUUGCACCAGCUGUUGUGUCACAUGGUCCAUCUCCAUCAAGGACAUCCAGCGUGAUGGAUACUGGCCAGGCAGUGGUACCACAAACUUCUGCACGCUAUAUGCCACUGAUAUCUUUCAGUCAUUUUAUGACUUGAAGAUGGCAGCACCAGGGGUCUCUCUGAAGGCAUACUUAAGAAUGCUUGAUGCAAGGACUGUGCGCUUUGGAAGAACUGGCAAGAUAUCACCAGACACAUUUUAUAAAAGCUUCUUGGAAUGGGUAGCCGUAAAAUAUGAAGUACGAAAGCUGUGUACGCC